This 21-nucleotide non-coding RNA is filed under the name Caenorhabditis elegans. The record is from RNAcentral. Lineage: Eukaryota; Metazoa; Nematoda; Chromadorea; Rhabditida; Rhabditidae.
UCCGUUUGCUCGAAACACAAA